CGAGCAAGCCAGACAACCGCGGGUGCCAGUCCGAAAGGCGGCACGUGAGGAAAGUCCGGGCUCCACAGGGCAAGGGUGCCGGGUAACUCCCGGUGAAGGCGACUUCAAGGAAAGUGCAACAGAAAGAAACCGCCGGCCGCAAGGCCGGUAAGGAUGGAAAGGCGAGGUAAGAGCUCACCAGCGGGUUGGCGACAAUCCGGCUAUGUAAACCCCACCCGGAGCAACAUCGCGGAGGGACACGUUUGCGGCCCGCAAGUCCCGGGGAGAUGGCUCAAGCCUGUCUGGGAAGGCAGGCGUAGAUAGAUGGUUGUCAAACACAGAACCCGGCUUACAGACUUGCUCGGAAA
This 347-nucleotide RNase P RNA is filed under the name Clostridiaceae bacterium. Its description in RNAcentral is "RNase P RNA component class A". It matches the Rfam family "Bacterial RNase P class A". From Rfam's summary of the family: Ribonuclease P (RNase P) is a ubiquitous endoribonuclease, found in archaea, bacteria and eukarya as well as chloroplasts and mitochondria. Lineage: Bacteria; Bacillati; Bacillota; Clostridia; Eubacteriales; Clostridiaceae. The record is from RNAcentral.